Molecule: ribosomal RNA, 468 nt
Filed under: uncultured bacterium
Lineage: Bacteria
Description: partial 16S ribosomal RNA
Rfam family: Bacterial small subunit ribosomal RNA
Source: RNAcentral
GACGAACGCUGGCGGCGUGCUUAACACAUGCAAGUCGAACGGAAAGGCCCUGCUUUUGUGGGGUGCUCGAGUGGCGAACGGGUGAGUAACACGUGAGUAACCUGCCCUUGACUUUGGGAUAACUUCAGGAAAAUGGGGCUAAUACCGGAUAGGAGCUCCUGCUGCAUGGUGGGGGUUGGAAAGUUUCGGCGGUUGGGGAUGGACUAGCGGCUUAUCAGCUUGUUGGUGGGGUAGUGGCUUACCAAGGCUUUGACGGGUAGCCGGCCUGAGAGGGUGACCGGCCACCUUGGGCCUGCGAUACGGCCCAGACUCCUACGGUAGGCAGCAGUGGGGAAUAUUGCGCAAUGGGCGGAAGCCUGAUGCAGCAACGCCGCGUGCGUGAUGACGGCCUUCGGGUUGUAAACCGCUUUCGCCUGUGACGAAGCGUGAGUGACGGUAAUGGGUAAAGAAGCACCGGCUAACUACGUG